AAAAGGUUUCCGAAACGGGCCAGGCGCGAGAGAGCUUGCUCUCUUGGCGGCGAGUGGCGGACCCGGUGAGUAAUAUAUCGGAACGUGCCCAGUAGCGGGGGAUAACUACUCGAAAGAGUGGCUAAUACCGCAUACGCCCUACGGGGGAAAGGGGGGGAUCGCAAGACCUCUCACUAUUGGAGCGGCCGAUAUCGGAUUAGCUAGUUGGUGGGGUAAAGGCUCACCAAGGCAACGAUCCGUAGCUGGUUUGAGAGGACGACCAGCCACACUGGGACUGAGACACGGCCCAGACUCCUACGGGAGGCAGCAGUGGGGAAUUUUGGACAAUGGGGGAAACCCUGAUCCAGCCAUCCCGCGUGUAUGAUGAAGGCCUUCGGGUUGUAAAGUACUUUUGGCAGAGAAGAAAAGGUAUCCCCUAAUACGGGAUACUGCUGACGGUAUCUGCAGAAUAAGCACCGGCUAACUACGUGCCAGCAGCCGCGGUAAUACGUAGGGUGCAAGCGUUAAUCGGAAUGAUGUGGGCGUAAAGCGUGUGUAGGCGGUUCGGAAAGAAAGAUGUGAAAUCCCAGGGCUCAACCUUGGAACUGCAUUUUUAACUGCCGAGCUAGAGUAUGUCAGAGGGGGGUAGAAUUCCACGUGUAGCAGUGAAAUGCGUAGAUAUGUGGAGGAAUACCGAUGGCGAAGGCAGCCCCCUGGGAUAUACUGACGCCUCAGACACGAAAGCGUGGGGGAGCAACAGGAUUAGAUACCCUGGUAGUCCACGCCCUAAACGAUGUCAACUACUGUUGGGGCCGUUAGGCAUAGUAGCGCACCUAACGCGUGAACUCGACCGCCUGGGGGAGUACGGUCCCAGAUUAAACUCCAGGAAUUGACGGGACCCGCACAGCGUGGAUGAUUUUGAUUAAUUCGAUGCCACGCGAAAACCUUACUUUACCCCUUGACUGUCUGGAAGCCAAAGAAUUUUGGCCGUGUCUCCCAAGAGAACCGGAACACAGGUGCUGCAUGGCUGUCGUCAGCUCGUGUCGUGAGAUGUUGGGUUAAGUCCCGCAACGAGCGCAACCCUUGUCAUUAGUUGCUACGCAAGAGCACUCUAAUGAGACUGCCGGUGACAAACCGGAGGAAGGUGGGGAUGACGUCAAGUCCUCAUGGCCCUUAUGGGUAGGGCUUCACACGUCAUACAAUGGUCGGGACAGAGGGUCGCCAACCCGCGAGGGGGAGCCAAUCUCAGAAACCCGAUCGUAGUCCGGAUCGCAGUCUGCAACUCGACUGCGUGAAGUCGGAAUCGCUAGUAAUCGCGGAUCAGAAUGUCGCGGUGAAUACGUUCCCGGGUCUUGUACACACCGCCCGUCACACCAUGGGAGUGGGUUUCACCAGAAGUAGGUAGCCUAACCGUAAGGAGGGCGCUUACCACGGUGGGAUUCCAUGAGCUCGGGGGGAAAAGUUUG
Molecule: ribosomal RNA, 1445 nt
Filed under: Alcaligenes parafaecalis
Lineage: Bacteria; Pseudomonadati; Pseudomonadota; Betaproteobacteria; Burkholderiales; Alcaligenaceae
Description: bacterial SSU rRNA
Rfam family: Bacterial small subunit ribosomal RNA
Source: RNAcentral